This 74-nucleotide transfer RNA is filed under the name candidate division SR1 bacterium. It matches the Rfam family "tRNA". From Rfam's summary of the family: Transfer RNA (tRNA) molecules are approximately 80 nucleotides in length. Their secondary structure includes four short double-helical elements and three loops (D, anti-codon, and T loops). The record is from Rfam by way of RNAcentral. Lineage: Bacteria; Candidatus Absconditibacteriota.
GGGCAUAUAGCACAAGAGGUUAGUGCAACACUCUCAUAAAGUGUAGGUUGCUGGUUCAAAUCUAGCUAUGCCCA